This 297-nucleotide ribosomal RNA is filed under the name Triticum aestivum (bread wheat). Its description in RNAcentral is "partial small subunit ribosomal RNA". The record is from RNAcentral. Lineage: Eukaryota; Viridiplantae; Streptophyta; Magnoliopsida; Poales; Poaceae.
AUGGUUCCUCCGGAGCCUCAGGAACUAGAUGCAGAAGACAAGAAGAAGGAAAGAGUCGCAGUCGGUGCUCCUUUCACGUGGAUUACAUUGCACUUUGGUACUUUCCCCGAGGAAGCUAAUGGGGACGUGGUCAAGACAUAUGCUCGUGUCUACAUGCGGUACGUGAUAUCCAGGACUAUGUUUGCUGAUGGCACAGGCAAGAAUGCUCCAUGGAUGUGGCUGAAGGUGUUGACCGUCUUCGAUAGCAAAUGGAGUUGGGGUUCGGCGACACUGGUUUACUUGUAUAGACAGGUAUGA